RNAcentral lists this ribosomal RNA (468 nucleotides) under uncultured bacterium. RNAcentral describes it as "partial 16S ribosomal RNA". It matches the Rfam family "Bacterial small subunit ribosomal RNA", at positions 28 to 507 of the family's 1533-position model. The record is from RNAcentral.
GACGAACGCUGGCGGCGUGCUUAACACAUGCAAGUCGAACGGAAAGGCCCUGCUUUUGUGGGGUGCUCGAGUGGCGAACGGGUGAGUAACACGUGAGUAACCUGCCCUUGACUUUGGGAUAACUUCAGGAAACUGGGGCUAAUACCGGAUAGGAGCUCCUGCUGCAUGGUGGGGGUUGGAAAGUUUCGGCGGUUGGGGAUGGACUCGCGGCUUAUCAGCUUGUUGGUGGGGUAGUGGCUUACCAAGGCUUUGACGGGUAGCCGGCCUGAGAGGGUGACCGGCCACAUUGGGACUGAGAUACGGCCCAGACUCCUACGGGAGGGAGCAGUGGGGAAUAUUGCACAAUGGGCGGAAGCCUGAUGCAGCAACGCCGCGUGCGGGAUGACGGCAUUCGGGUUGUAAACCGCUUCCGCCUGUGACGAAGCGUGAGUGACGGUAAUGGGUAAAGAAGCACCGGCUAACUACGUG